Small nucleolar RNA from Salvia splendens (bonfire salvia), 75 nucleotides. RefSeq annotates it as small nucleolar RNA snoR117. The record is from RefSeq and is a predicted model, not a curated record. The transcript has a single exon. Lineage: Eukaryota; Viridiplantae; Streptophyta; Magnoliopsida; Lamiales; Lamiaceae.
GGCCGGUGAUGAACGGAGAAUUGUCCGUACCAUCUGAUUUCCUUGAUGUAUUAAUCUCGAAUAUUUCUGAGGCCU